UUUGUGGCUCUUCACUAAUACUUUAAAUUUUGCAUAUCACUGGCAACUGUACUCCAAUCUACAGGUUUGAACCAACCCUAACCCUUCUAGGGUGCCUUUUUUGAUAUAAAAAUUAAGUGUGAUUUUGUUGUCAGUUUUAUCACAGAAUCAUAAAAUGGUUUGGAGUGGAAGAGUCCUUAAAGAUCAGUUAGUCCUAAUUCCUCUGCCAUGGCCAGGGACACUCCACUAGACCAGGUUGCUCAAAGCCUCAUCCAAACUGGCCUAGAACAUUUUCAAGAAUGGGGCAUCCACAACUUUCCUGGGCAUCCUGUACUUCAACAUCACACCUACCAUAACUACAGCUGAGUGGCUUAGAACAUUAGAAUGUUUGUAACCCAUGUUAUUUUUAAGCAAAAACUCUGUUACAGAGCCCUCUAUUGUUGCAGAGCCCUCUAUGUUCUCAAGUCUGAUUUCCUCAAAUACACAAAUGAAAAGGUGAACUUGGCAUUUCCAGCUCCUGCAGCCUCAAUUUAGGAAACCAGUAAACAUACACAAAAACUUUCUUUUUAUGUGUAGGGCCAAAAAGGAUUACCUGGGGUAACAGGAGACAGAGGGCCACGUGGACCCAAAGGCAUACUUGGGAGAGGAGAAAAGGGUGAAAAAGGCCUUCCUGGGUUCCCUGGAUUGCGGGUAAGAAAGUUACACAAUAAAUUAUAUCACAAAUUCACUAUUAUUGUGCAGCUUAAGUUUGCAAUUUCAAAAAAGACUUUAAGGAUUUUUUUUAAACUAAUCUGUCAUGCUUCCUGUAUAGAAUAUUUAGGAGACUUCCCCUGUGACUUACCCUGUCUCAGACUUAAACAUAAGCUCACACAAACUUUCCUUGGAAAGAAAGUAAAUCUGUAGGGUUAUCCUCUAAAUAUUUAGACCAGCACAAAGCUGCUCUGGAAUAGCACAGUAUUAACUCAGUAAGUUUAACGUUCUCCAUACAUGCUGAUGGCAGUUUUUUACAGCAGCUUUACUUGUGCUUGAUUUGCCUAAUGGUGUUGAAGUGGAGCAGCAUUCCACUACUCUGCUUGAUGCAAUAUGGGGAAAAAAAAUUAAGUGCAAACUGGACUGGCAUGCUUUGGUCUAUAGCUCUAAUUCUUGUCCAUUUCU
This 1134-nucleotide long non-coding RNA is filed under the name Parus major (Great Tit). RNAcentral's name for it is "lncRNA (ENSPMJG00000017213.1)". Lineage: Eukaryota; Metazoa; Chordata; Aves; Passeriformes; Paridae. The record is from RNAcentral.